RNAcentral lists this ribosomal RNA (253 nucleotides) under uncultured bacterium. RNAcentral's name for it is "partial 16S ribosomal RNA". It matches the Rfam family "Bacterial small subunit ribosomal RNA", at positions 524 to 776 of the family's 1533-position model. The record is from RNAcentral.
UACGUAGGGGGCGAGCGUUGUCCGGAUUUACUGGGCGUAAAGCGCGUGUAGGCGGGAGAUUAAGUUGGGUGUGAAAGCCCGGGGCUCAACCCCGGGAUGCCGCCCAAGACUGGUCUCCUUGAGGACGGAAGAGGGGAGUGGAAUUCCUGGUGUAGCGGUGAAAUGCGUAGAGAUCAGGAGGAACACCGGUGGCGAAGGCGGGUCUCUGGGCCGAUACUGACGCUGAGGAGCGAAAGCGUGGGGAGCGAACAGG